UUUUAAUGGAGAGUUUGAUCCUGGCUCAGGACGAACGCUGGCGGCGUGCCUAAUACAUGCAAGUCGUGCGGGUGAAGCCGACCACCCCUUCGGGGGCGGAUGGCGGAACCAGCGGCGGACGGGUGAGUAACACGUGGGCAACCUGCCUGCAAGACCGGGAUAACUGCGGGAAACCGGAGCUAAUACCGGAUAAGAGGCUUUUCCGCAUGGGGGAGCCUUAAAAGGCGGCGGAAGUCGUCGCUUGCAGAUGGGCUCGCGGCGCAUUAGCUAGUUGGUGAGGUAAGGGCUCACCAAGGCGACGAUGCGUAGCCGACCUGAGAGGGUGACCGGCCACACUGGGACUGAGACACGGCCCAGACUCCUACGGGAGGCAGCAGUAGGGAAUUUUCGGCAAUGGGGGAACCCUGACCGAGCAACGCCGCGUGAGCGAGGACGGCCUUCGGGUUGUAAAGCUCUGUCAUGUGGGAAGAACGGCUAGGAGAGGGCAUGCUCUUAGCGUGACGGUACCACAGGAGGAAGCCCCGGCUAACUACGUGCCAGCAGCCGCGGUAACACGUAGGGGGCGAGCGUUGUCCGGAAUUAUUGGGCGUAAAGGGCGCGCAGGCGGUCUCUUAAGUCUGAUGUGAAAGGCCACGGCUCAACCGUGGGAUGGCAUUGGAAACUGGGGGACUUGAGUGCAGGAGAGGGGAGCGGAAUUCCCGGUGUAGCGGUGAAAUGCGUAGAGAUCGGGAGGAACACCAGUGGCGAAGGCGGCUCUCUGGCCUGUAACUGACGCUGAGGCGCGAAAGCGUGGGGAGCGAACAGGAUUAGAUACCCUGGUAGUCCACGCCGUAAACGAUGAGUGCUAGGUGUUAGGGGCGUCACGCCCUUAGUGCCGAAGUAAACACAUUAAGCACUCCGCCUGGGGAGUACGGCCGCAAGGCUGAAACUCAAAGGAAUUGACGGGGGCCCGCACAAGCGGUGGAGCAUGUGGUUUAAUUCGAAGCAACGCGAAGAACCUUACCAGGGCUUGACAUCCUCUGACCCCUCUAGAGAUAGAGGUUUCCCUUCGGGGACAGAGAGACAGGUGGUGCAUGGUUGUCGUCAGCUCGUGUCGUGAGAUGUUGGGUUAAGUCCCGCAACGAGCGCAACCCUUGAGCUUAGUUGCCAGCAUUGAGUUGGGCACUCUAAGCUGACUGCCAGUGACAAGCUGGAGGAAGGUGGGGAUGACGUCAAAUCAUCAUGCCCCUUAUGUCCUGGGCGACACACGUGCUACAAUGGCUGGUACAGAGGGCAGCGAAGCGGUGACGCGGAGCCAAUCCCUAAAAAGCCAGUCUCAGUUCGGAUCGCAGGCUGCAACUCGCCUGCGUGAAGGAGGAAUCGCUAGUAAUCGCGGAUCAGCAUGCCGCGGUGAAUACGUUCCCGGGCCUUGUACACACCGCCCGUCACACCACGAGAGUCUGUAACACCCGAAGUCGGUGAGGCAACCGUAAGGAGCCAGCCGCCGAAGGUGGGACAGAUGAUUGGGGUGAAGUCGUAACAAGGUAGCCGUAUCGGAAGGUGCGGCUGGAUCACCUCCUUUCUA
Molecule: ribosomal RNA, 1564 nt
Filed under: Novibacillus thermophilus
Lineage: Bacteria; Bacillati; Bacillota; Bacilli; Caryophanales; Thermoactinomycetaceae
Description: bacterial SSU rRNA
Rfam family: Bacterial small subunit ribosomal RNA
Source: RNAcentral